UUAUUUAUAAAGCUUGUUUGGAACCUAUUAAAAAUGAUAACUAUGAAAAAUAAUUUAAUGUUUAAGUAAUGCUUAAUAAAAAAAACUAAAAAAACUAUAGUUUAUUAGUACUGUAGAGGAAAGAUUAACAGUAAUUUAGGCAGUAAGUAUAAACAUUUAUACCUUGUGUAUCAGGGAAAAUCAAUAUAAUUUAAUUAACUUAAAUAUCCCGAAAUAAGAAUAGCUAAAUUUAUAUUACUGUAUUUGUGGAAUAAAAGUGUUUAAUGUAAAUUUAAAGGUGAAAUGCUAUUAGAGUCUUAUUUUAUCUGGUUUUCUUAGAAUAAAGUUUAAUUUUAACUUUAAGUAAAAAGUAACUUAAAGUGAAAGUGUAGGAGGGCUUAGCUUCUUAUAUGAAGUAUAAUUAAAAGCAAAGUCAUUAAUUUUGUUAAAGUUAGGCUUAGAAGUAGCCAUAUUAAUAAAGUGUUAUAACUAAAUGAAAUACGAAGGAUAUUUAUAAUUGCUUUAAUAAAGUAUAAGAAAAUUAUGUAUAACUUAAAAAAAUAAGUUAUAAUGAUUUUAUUAGUAGAGUAUUGGUGUAAAUUGUAUAACUAGAAUAAUUAACACAUUUAGUAAGAACAUUAGAAUAUAAAGGAACUCGGCAAAAAUUUUUCUUGCCUGUUUAUCAAAAACAUGUCUGUUUGAUAUUAUAAAGAGUCUGACCUGCCCACUGAGUGAAAGCUUAAAGGGCCGCGGUAUUUUGACUGUGCAAAGGUAGCAUAAUCGUUUGGUUUUUAAUUGAAAUCUUGUAUGAAUGGUCCGACAAAGAAAGAAUCUGUCUUUAUUUUAAAUAAUUGAAUUUAACUUUUAAGUGAAAAGGCUUAAAUAAAUUAAAAAGACGAUAAGACCCUAUAAAACUUUACAUAGAGGCUCAUUAAAUUUAUUUAUUGAUUAUAAAGAUUUAAUGAAGCAGUCUAUGUUAUGUUGGGGUGACAUGUGAAUAAUGGUUAGUAACUAUUUAAAUUUAAAUACAUUUAUCUGUGGUUGAAUGUAAAAUGAUCCUAAUUAGAGAUUAAAAGUUUAAGUUACUUUAGGGAUAACAGCGUUAUUUUGUUUGAGAGUUCUUAUCGAAAACUGAGAUUGCGACCUCGAUGUUGAAUUAAAAUUUCUC
RNAcentral lists this ribosomal RNA (1147 nucleotides) under Ilyoplax serrata. RNAcentral describes it as "partial 16S ribosomal RNA". The record is from RNAcentral. Lineage: Eukaryota; Metazoa; Arthropoda; Malacostraca; Decapoda; Dotillidae.